This 468-nucleotide ribosomal RNA is filed under the name uncultured bacterium. RNAcentral describes it as "partial 16S ribosomal RNA". It matches the Rfam family "Bacterial small subunit ribosomal RNA", at positions 28 to 507 of the family's 1533-position model. The record is from RNAcentral.
GACGAACGCUGGCGGCGUGCUUAACACAUGCAAGUCGAACGGAAAGGCCCUGCUUUUGUGGGGUGCUCGAGUGGCGAACGGGUGAGUAACACGUGAGUAACCUGCCCUUGAUUUUGGGAUAACUUCAGGAAACUGGGGCUAAUACCGGAUAGGAGCUCCUGCUGCAUGGUGGGGGUUGGAAAGUUUCGGCGGUUGGGGAUGGACUCGCGGCUUAUCAGCUUGUUGGUGGGGUAGUGGCUUACCAAGGCUUUGACGGGUAGCCGGCCUGAGAGGGUGACCGGCCACAUUGGGACUGAGAUACGGCCCAGACUCCUACGGGAGGCAGCAGUGGGGAAUAUUGCACAAUGGGCGGAAGCCUGAUGAAGCAACGCCGCGUGCGGGAUGACGGCCUUCGGGUUGUAAACCGCUUUCGCCUGUGACGAAGCGUGAGUGACGGUAAUGGGUAAAGAAGCACCGGCUAACUACGUG